This 225-nucleotide long non-coding RNA is filed under the name Homo sapiens (human). RNAcentral describes it as "HSALNT0406515". Lineage: Eukaryota; Metazoa; Chordata; Mammalia; Primates; Hominidae. The record is from RNAcentral.
UGCAUCCAGAUUGAGAACAGCAGCAGCUAGAGCAGUUUCAUUGCCCAGCCCCACCGGACUCAAGUUUUCUCCAGUGAGAUGUUCCCAGAAGUUGCUGGCUGGGGCUUUCAGGAAGACGUUUCAGAUGGAAGACAGGCUCAGCUAGAAGAUCCCACAUUCAGCCUGAUAAUGCAGACUCUUUCAAGGUCAGUCCUCUGGGCUCCAUCUAUAAAACAAAUGUUUGUC